RNAcentral lists this transfer RNA (77 nucleotides) under Rhodospirillaceae bacterium. Its description in RNAcentral is "tRNA-Pro". It matches the Rfam family "tRNA". From Rfam's summary of the family: Transfer RNA (tRNA) molecules are approximately 80 nucleotides in length. The record is from RNAcentral. Lineage: Bacteria; Pseudomonadati; Pseudomonadota; Alphaproteobacteria; Rhodospirillales; Rhodospirillaceae.
CGGAGCGUGGCGCAGCCAGGUAGCGCGUCUGACUGGGGGUCAGAAGGUCGUGGGUUCGAAUCCCGCCGCUCCGACCA